Molecule: long non-coding RNA, 271 nt
Organism: Cucurbita maxima (winter squash)
Lineage: Eukaryota; Viridiplantae; Streptophyta; Magnoliopsida; Cucurbitales; Cucurbitaceae
Exons: 3
Source: RefSeq, a predicted model, not a curated record
UGGGACCGAGUCUACAAAUCGCACGGAACAUUCCCUCAGUUUCCCGAAUUUUCUCUCGUCGAAGAUAUUCAUUCAUGCUGUUCGGCGCCAAUCUUCCCGCCGUUGGUCGAUGUUUAUUAUUUACUGAGAUGAUCGUUGUAGAUGUGGACAAUAUAACUUCACCAUAAUGCCAUGCUCUUCAGCUACUGGAGGUGUUUGGUCAAGUGGCACACCUUGCUCGAGUGAUUGGCUUAGAGAGUUUCUUGGUCUCACGUGGGUGGGCUAUCAUCAU